Molecule: long non-coding RNA, 883 nt
Filed under: Coffea arabica (coffee)
Lineage: Eukaryota; Viridiplantae; Streptophyta; Magnoliopsida; Gentianales; Rubiaceae
Description: long non-coding RNA (CARA_LNC001030)
Source: RNAcentral
CUGAUGUACUUCACAGUUUCCUUCCUUUAUUUCGCGUAUUCAAAGAUGGCCGUGUCGAAAGGUUCAGUCAAACUCCCUUCACCCCUCCGUCUGAUUCGGAAGAUCCGAACGCCGUCACCGGCGGUGUCCGAUCAAAAGACAUCGUCAUCUCACCGGAAAACAAGGUAGGAGCACGGCUAUUCCUUCCCAAAACAAUCAAACCCGAUGAGAGACGUCCCCUCCUCAUCUACAUCCACGGUGGUGCCUUCGCCAUCGAAUCGGCCUUCUCCAUUCAAUACCAUAACUACGUUAGCUCCCUCGUAGCCGAGGCGAAUAUCAUCGCCGUGUCCGUCGAAUACAGGUUGGCUCCGGAGCACCCCGUGCCCGCGUGCUACGACGAUUCCUGGGCAGUGAUUAAUUGGGUCACAGCUCAUGCCAAAGAUAGACAAGGCCCCGAUUUAUGGAUUAAUAAUCACGCCGACUUCACCAAAGUCUUCUUCUCCGGCGACAGCGCUGGAGGUAACAUUGCCCAUAACAUGGCAGUGAGAGCAGGCCAAGAUGGGCUGGGCGACGGCGUAAAGCUCGAGGGAGUGAUUUUGAUGCAUCCCUUUUUCGGUGAUGGGAAGCCUAAUAAACUUUGGGAGCUUAUCUGUUCAGACUUUAAGGGAUGGGAGGAUCCAAGGCUGAAUCCGAUGGCUCAUCCGGGUUCGUUAUCGAGCCUCGUUUGUGGCAAGAUUCUGAUUUGCAUAUCCGAGAAAGAUAUCAUCAGGGAGAGUGGUCAGCUUUACUAUGAGGCCUUGAAGAAAAACGGAUGGAAAGGUGAGUUGGAUUUGGUGGACAUUGAAGAGGAGGGUCAUGUUUUCCACCUCUUGAACCCAGAUUGUCACCGCGCCGGAGUCUUGAU